Molecule: ribosomal RNA, 487 nt
Filed under: uncultured bacterium
Lineage: Bacteria
Description: partial 16S ribosomal RNA
Rfam family: Bacterial small subunit ribosomal RNA
Source: RNAcentral
GACGAACGCUGGCGGCGUGCUUAACACAUGCAAGUCGAACGGGCUCUGUCUGGCUGUGUGCUGGGUGGGGUUAGUGGCGAACGGGUGAGUAAUACGUGAGUAACCUGCCCUCUUCUUUGGGAUAAGCCUUGGAAACGGGGUCUAAUACUGGAUAUUCCUGUCUGGUCGCAUGGCUGGGUGGGGAAAGUUUUUUUCGAUGGGGGAUGGGCUCGCGGCCUAUCAGCUUGUUGGUGGGGUGAUGGCCUACCAAGGCGUCGACGGGUAGCCGGCCUGAGAGGGUGACCGGCCACACUGGGACUGAGAUACGGCCCAGACUCCUACGGGAGGCAGCAGUGGGGGAUAUUGCACAAUGGGCGCAAGCCUGAUGCAGCGACGCCGCGUGGGGGAUGACGGCUUUCGGGUUGUAAACCUCUUUCGUCGGGGGACAAGGCUCUGCUUGGUGGUGGGGUUGAGGGUACCCGGUGAAGAAGCGCCGGCUAACUACGUG